This 462-nucleotide ribosomal RNA is filed under the name uncultured bacterium. Its description in RNAcentral is "partial 16S ribosomal RNA". It matches the Rfam family "Bacterial small subunit ribosomal RNA", at positions 29 to 507 of the family's 1533-position model. The record is from RNAcentral.
AGUGAACGCUGGCGGCGUGCCUAAUACAUGCAAGUCGAACGGAGAUUAAGUAGCUUGCUAUUUAAUCUUAGUGGCGCACGGGUGAGUAAUAUAUAGCUAACUUGCCCAUUACUAAGGGACAACAGUUGGAAACGACUGCUAAUACCUUAUACUCCGUAUCUAUAUAAGUAGAUACGGGAAAGUUUUUCGGUAAUGGAUAGGGCUAUAUCGUAUCAGCUAGUUGGUAAGGUAAUGGCUUACCAAGGCUAUGACGCGUAACUGGUCUGAGAGGAUGAUCAGUCACACUGGAACUGAGACACGGUCCAGACUCCUACGGGAGGCAGCAGUAGGGAAUAUUGCUCAAUGGGGGAAACCCUGAAGCAGCAACGCCGCGUGGAGGAUGACACUUUUCGGAGCGUAAACUCCUUUUCUUGGGAAAGAAUUAUGACGGUACCCAAGGAAUAAGCACCAGCUAACUCCGUG